UCUUUUUUCUUUAACUUUCUUUAUUUUAUUUUUUCUUUUUGUGCUAAGAAUUAAAGCUUUGAUCAUCACGAAGCUACACACCCAGUCAAUGCCUGCUCAAAUUUAAUCUCCCUAUGUUAAAUCUUGAGUCCAAGACUUUCCCUGCUGUGGUAUCAACUGUGGUCUUUUUCCAUUCCAGACAAGGACUUGAAGCCCUGGUGUGAACAGUGCGUCUCGCACACCUGACCUAUAGGAAGAGUUCCCUACUGGAAGAAACGAACACACACAAGGUGCUAGACCACCACCUAAAGAGCCAUUGCCUGGGUUUAGCUCUGAUAAAAAUAGGAUCCACCCACUGUCCAAAGCCCUUCACUACGUGCAAGAGGAGAGGAACGAAACCCACUCGGCUUCCUGUGAGCCAUGCCUAGACUGACUCCUAACCAAGAGAGCAAGCUUCAGGAAUGGCUUGGGGCAGGUAAAUUCAGAGAGGCCUCAGCAGGGACAGGGCCGUCCAUAUUCUCCCACUGUCAUGAUAACCUGAUCUACCAGAUAGAAAGUCUACCAGGAAAGAAUGAGAAAGAAAACGGACAGGACAUCAUUACCUACCGCCACCUCCUAUUUCUCAUUAUACGAGAAAGCCCAGGACUGUGGUGGGCCAGAGAAGGGUACGCACUAGAAGGAUGCAAAUUCCUUGCUGUGUCAUCUUCAGUGCAUUGUCAUUUGGAAAAUGACACACAGUAUUGUUAUAAACAUUAAAACG
Molecule: long non-coding RNA, 739 nt
Organism: Mus caroli (Ryukyu mouse)
Lineage: Eukaryota; Metazoa; Chordata; Mammalia; Rodentia; Muridae
Source: RefSeq, a predicted model, not a curated record